This 3010-nucleotide ribosomal RNA is filed under the name Salmonella enterica subsp. enterica serovar Enteritidis. Its description in RNAcentral is "bacterial LSU rRNA". It matches the Rfam family "Bacterial large subunit ribosomal RNA". Lineage: Bacteria; Pseudomonadati; Pseudomonadota; Gammaproteobacteria; Enterobacterales; Enterobacteriaceae. The record is from RNAcentral.
GGGUUGUGAGGUUAAGCGACUAAGCGUACACGGUGGAUGCCCUGGCAGUCAGAGGCGAUGAAGGGCGUGCUAAUCUGCGAUAAGCGCCGGUAAGGUGAUAUGAACCGUUAUAACCGGCGAUACCCGAAUGGGGAAACCCAGUGUGAUUCGUCACACUAUCAUUAACUGAAUCCAUAGGUUAAUGAGGCGAACCGGGGGAACUGAAACAUCUAAGUACCCCGAGGAAAAGAAAUCAACCGAGAUUCCCCCAGUAGCGGCGAGCGAACGGGGAGGAGCCCAGAGCCUGAAUCAGCAUGUGUGUUAGUGGAAGCGUCUGGAAAGGUGCGCGAUACAGGGUGACAGCCCCGUACACAAAAGCGCAUGUGCUGUGAGCUCGAUGAGUAGGGCGGGACACGUGGUAUCCUGUCUGAAUAUGGGGGACCAUCCUCCAAGGCUAAAUACUCCUGACUGACCGAUAGUGAACCAGUACCGUGAGGGAAAGGCGAAAAGAACCCCGGCGAGGGGAGUGAAAAAGAACCUGAAACCGUGUACGUACAAGCAGUGGGAGCACCCUUCGGGGUGUGACUGCGUACCUUUUGUAUAAUGGGUCAGCGACUUAUAUUCUGUAGCAAGGUUAACCGUAUAGGGGAGCCGGAGGGAAACCGAGUCUUAACCGGGCGUUAAGUUGCAGGGUAUAGACCCGAAACCCGGUGAUCUAGCCAUGGGCAGGUUGAAGGUUGGGUAACACUAACUGGAGGACCGAACCGACUAAUGUUGAAAAAUUAGCGGAUGACCUGUGGCUGGGGGUGAAAGGCCAAUCAAACCGGGAGAUAGCUGGUUCUCCCCGAAAGCUAUUUAGGUAGCGCCUCGUGAAUUCAUCUCCGGGGGUAGAGCACUGUUUCGGCUAGGGGGCCAUCCCGGCUUACCAACCCGAUGCAAACUGCGAAUACCGGAGAAUGUUAUCACGGGAGACACACGGCGGGUGCUAACGUCCGUCGUGAAGAGGGAAACAACCCAGACCGCCAGCUAAGGUCCCAAAGUCAUGGUUAAGUGGGAAACGAUGUGGGAAGGCCCAGACAGCCAGGAUGUUGGCUUAGAAGCAGCCAUCAUUUAAAGAAAGCGUAAUAGCUCACUGGUCGAGUCGGCCUGCGCGGAAGAUGUAACGGGGCUAAACCAUGCACCGAAGCUGCGGCAGCGAACGUAUCACCCAAGACAACUUUACGGAGUUGACGAUUGACGGAGCGAAGCGACGUCAAAGCGUUCAUUAAAGUCGAGUUGGCUUAGGGAUACGUUCGUUGGGUAGGGGAGCGUUCUGUAAGCCUGUGAAGGUGUGUCGUGAGGCAUGCUGGAGGUAUCAGAAGUGCGAAUGCUGACAUAAGUAACGAUAAAGCGGGUGAAAAGCCCGCUCGCCGGAAGACCAAGGGUUCCUGUCCAACGUUAAUCGGGGCAGGGUGAGUCGACCCCUAAGGCGAGGCCGAAAGGCGUAGUCGAUGGGAAACGGGUUAAUAUUCCCGUACUUGGUGUUACUGCGAAGGGGGGACGGAGAAGGCUAUGUUGGCCGGGCGACGGUUGUCCCGGUUUAAGCGUGUAGGUGUGUGUUCCAGGUAAAUCCGGUUCACUUUAACACUGAGGCGUGACGACGAGGCACUACGGUGCUGAAGCAACAAAUGCCCUGCUUCCAGGAAAAGCCUCUAAGCAUCAGGUAACACGAAAUCGUACCCCAAACCGACACAGGUGGUCAGGUAGAGAAUACCAAGGCGCUUGAGAGAACUCGGGUGAAGGAACUAGGCAAAAUGGUGCCGUAACUUCGGGAGAAGGCACGCUGACACGUAGGUGAAGUGAUUUACUCAUGGAGCUGAAGUCAGUCGAAGAUACCAGCUGGCUGCAACUGUUUAUUAAAAACACAGCACUGUGCAAACACGAAAGUGGACGUAUACGGUGUGACGCCUGCCCGGUGCCGGAAGGUUAAUUGAUGGGGUCAGCGCAAGCGAAGCUCCUGAUCGAAGCCCCGGUAAACGGCGGCCGUAACUAUAACGGUCCUAAGGUAGCGAAAUUCCUUGUCGGGUAAGUUCCGACCUGCACGAAUGGCGUAAUGAUGGCCAGGCUGUCUCCACCCGAGACUCAGUGAAAUUGAACUCGCUGUGAAGAUGCAGUGUACCCGCGGCAAGACGGAAAGACCCCGUGAACCUUUACUAUAGCUUGACACUGAACAUUGAGCCUUGAUGUGUAGGAUAGGUGGGAGGCUUUGAAGUGUGGACGCCAGUCUGCAUGGAGCCGACCUUGAAAUACCACCCUUUAAUGUUUGAUGUUCUAACGUGGACCCGUAAUCCGGGUUGCGGACAGUGUCUGGUGGGUAGUUUGACUGGGGCGGUCUCCUCCUAAAGAGUAACGGAGGAGCACGAAGGUUGGCUAAUCCUGGUCGGACAUCAGGAGGUUAGUGCAAUGGCAUAAGCCAGCUUGACUGCGAGCGUGACGGCGCGAGCAGGUGCGAAAGCAGGUCAUAGUGAUCCGGUGGUUCUGAAUGGAAGGGCCAUCGCUCAACGGAUAAAAGGUACUCCGGGGAUAACAGGCUGAUACCGCCCAAGAGUUCAUAUCGACGGCGGUGUUUGGCACCUCGAUGUCGGCUCAUCACAUCCUGGGGCUGAAGUAGGUCCCAAGGGUAUGGCUGUUCGCCAUUUAAAGUGGUACGCGAGCUGGGUUUAGAACGUCGUGAGACAGUUCGGUCCCUAUCUGCCGUGGGCGCUGGAGAACUGAGGGGGGCUGCUCCUAGUACGAGAGGACCGGAGUGGACGCAUCACUGGUGUUCGGGUUGUCAUGCCAAUGGCACUGCCCGGUAGCUAAAUGCGGAAGAGAUAAGUGCUGAAAGCAUCUAAGCACGAAACUUGCCCCGAGAUGAGUUCUCCCUGAGACUUAGAGUCUCCUGAAGGAACGUUGAAGACGACGACGUUGAUAGGCCGGGUGUGUAAGCGCAGCGAUGCGUUGAGCUAACCGGUACUAAUGAACCGUGAGGCUUAACCUUACAACGCCGAAG